UGCUGAAGGCUGAGGCUGCGGCCUUCCUCCCAUGCUCCCUCUUGGUGAGUGUGGUGUUUAGAUGUCCUGUGCAUGCCCCUGCUCACCCCAGGUGCCUUAAGACUGCACAGCCCAGUUUUAACCUCUCAUAUUCGUGACCAAACGACCCUGACGCACAGGGACCUGGGCCUCUGCCGACCGUCAGGAGCAAAACUUGAAGGUGGGGCACGGUAGGACUGGAAGAGAAUGGAGCACCUUGGGUCCUGCCUGCUCAGGAUGCCGAGGCCAGGAUGAGAAGUGACUCUCUCAAGGUCACACAGGUAGUGGUAGAACAAGAGCCCAGGCUUCCUGUUUCCAAGUCACCUGUGUUUCCUGGGACCAAAUACUGAGCACCUGCUGGAGUCUGGGCAGAGCAGCCUGGCCCUGUUCUACUCCAGGCCUCCCGAAUGCAGGGGUUGCAUUGGAGGGUUCACGGCCCGUGCCAAGCUCAGCAGAACAGUUUUAACACUCGGCCUCUCUGGUAACCGUUUAUUUCUCCUUCUGUCCCCAGCCAGUCGUGUGGCACGGGAGCUGUGCUGGGAAGCAGAGUGGAGAGGAGCUGUGGGGCAGCCAGCCUUGGCAGGUGCCUGUGCAGUUCACUGCAGCUCCCUCCCCCCUUUGUUUCCUCGAUUUAAGCAUAGACUGUGCCAGCUGCAGGAAGGAACUUCAGUCCCUCAGGCUGGCAGCCACAGCAGGUACCUGCCUGGGGGAGCCUGGCAGCCAUGGAGAAGGCUGAAAGGCAGAAAGACACAGGUCUUCUGCCUCUCUACCUCACUGUGCAUGGCGAUGCUGACCCCCCCUUACCUCCCUUCCCAGAACUAAUACACGGGUGCUAUUAGUCAGGAAAAAAACUGAGCAGCUCUGGCCAGCAGCAAGGUUUCUUCUCUUCUGCCCCAACUAUUGUGUGGCCUCUUGUGCUGAAAUCGGCUUCUCUGGCUUCAGAGCCUGAAACAAAGAGAAACAGGAUCUGUCUCUACCCAGCACAGCAAAUGGUGGUAGUAAUUGCCAAAGCCCUCAUAAACCCCUCCGGCUUGAGGAGAGUGCAAUCAGGCUCUGCCGCCUGCACUUGCUGAGAACCUCCCCUCUGCCUCCUUUCCUGAACUCAGAGGUAGGGACUAAGCACAGGUGCCAGCAGGCCCUCCUGCUGUGGCUACUCCAGAGUGCUCUGUGUCUCCAUGUGUCCGCAUCCCCCACCCCGCAUCCCCCACCCCCGUCCCCCCAAAUCCAGUGUCUGGCACAGGGCUUGGCGCUCAACUCCAUGCUGUGCAUGUUUCCCACCCUGUGCCUUAGAAGCUGAAGGCUCUUUCAUCAGAACCUUAAAAUGGCUGUUGAUGGUACCCUGGCUGCAGCCCAGCAGGGGCCUGGAGAGGCUGGGGAGGGCAGUGGUCCUUCCAAAUAGAAGUCCUGGGGCCUGGCCAGGCCAGGGUUUGGGCCUAAUGGUUUUUACUAAAUUACUCCCCUCCUGCUCUCUGAGAAAGGGGAGCCAGAGCCGUUCACUGUGGUUCUGUUCCGACCUUGAAGGGGCGGUAUUGGCCUGGCUUCUGGAAUGGACAGAGUCCACCAGGAAAGACUGGGGGCGGAAGGAGAUGGGGAGGGGCCCUGUCUGCGGAAGGUAGGAUUAGAUCAUUAGCUCAGUGACCUCCUAGGGUUUCUAUGUGCUGUGUUCUCAUCCUACAGCUGGUUUGGUAAUGAUCUGCAAGUCCCGGAGAGCAACAGCACAGCUCUGCCUGACGCUCUCAUUAAAAUCCAUGCAGCCAAGCUCUGCGCUUUGUAGCAGUCGGCCUUGCAGAGCCUCCUCAGCUUGGGGGGCUGGGGACCCAGUCAGCUGAGAGGUCCCCUAGGCUCUACUUAGGCAUAUGUGUAUCCCCCACCAAAAAAAAAAUGUUUUUUAAAACAUGCUUCUUUAAACCCAGAGCCCUUUAAAAUAAUAAAGGACCCGGCGCAGGUGGGUGUGUUUGUGGAAUCCUGUAAAUGGGGAACACAAAGUUUAGUGACAUUUAAACUGGGCUGAGGCUGUAAGUGUAUAAAGCAGUGGCCCAUAAGGACUCUUAAGCGCUGAAGCCAAGGAGCCACCUCCCUUCCCAGUCUGCCUAGCCCAGGGGGCCUGCCCCCAUUCCUGUAGCCCAGGGGCCCAGCUUGCAAUUGGUAGUGUCAGAAGUGACUUGUAGCUUUGCCUUGGUUGUGAGAUGAUUUCAUUCCAGGGGAGGGGGUGGGGGGAUCCCUUGGAGGCUCAGAGCAGCUGGCCCAAGCUCCGGCUCGCCUCCAGUGGAAGCUGCAGCGCCCUCAGAAACGACCCUGGCCAAUGUCACUGCAGAGCUGAGGCGGCCUUGUCAGGGCUAAUGUGAAAUCUCUUCCCGUGGCGCCGAUCCUCUGACUCUAUAGCGCCAGCUUGGACAGAUUGAGGUCUCUGUGGCUUUGGUGACCCUGCUUAAGCAUUCCCACCGUGUCCCUGCUCUGCACGAGGACUGCCUCCUGCUGCAGCCCCUUACUUGACCUCAGGGCCUGGGGAGGGAAGCACUGGGCCAGGACCAAGCGCUCCAACUCAGGAGAUAUGUCAGCCUUUGUGGGGAGGAGGGGGUGAAGCAUUGAGCUUGGCUGGUGCCCAUCCGACCUGGGACCAGGUGUUGCACAGAGAAGUGCUUCUGUGCCUCCUGCCUCGUUCACUUUAGUGGGGCCUCAGCGAAGGCUGAGGACAAUUCUGUUCCUGUAUUAACUUUAUUCAGUUAAUUGACCUGAGGAACUAACCAAUUUUUAUUUUCUGCCUAGAAUGAUUUACACAUAGGAGAGAAAGCUAUCAUGUUACCAAAGUGCCUUGUUUUCUCUGAUAUAAAUAUAUUUAUAAGGACAUAUUCCAGUAGGUUCUUGGUGUUUCCCAUAUCAAGAUUUCCACAUAGUGGGAAUACCAGGCCCUUUUCUCCCAGAGGUUGGAAGGGGAAAUCUGAGCAGUGGAAUGAAGCCACCCCACAUGGUGCCCCCUCUGCCCUUGUCCUACAGGUAAAAGAAGAUACACACACACACAAAAAUUUUUUUGAGAUGGUGUUUCAGGUAGAUGACAUGGGCCUUGACCUUACUAUGUAGCUGAAGAUGGCCUUGAACUCCUGACCCUCUGCCUCAGCCAUGCCUGACUAGGACAUCCGAUUUUUUUUUGUUUUAAGUCUGGUUUCAUUUGCUUCACUGCCAGGCUCACAGUGUGUACCAUCGUAUUUGUACUCCUACAACCCGAAGAUUCCAUGUAACUUAUGUAUGCGCAUGAAUACUUUAAAUGCCAACAUUUUCAAUAAUUUGAUAAAGUCUUUGUAGUCAGUCA
RNAcentral lists this long non-coding RNA (3325 nucleotides) under Rattus norvegicus (Norway rat). RNAcentral's name for it is "long non-coding RNA NONRATT022702". Lineage: Eukaryota; Metazoa; Chordata; Mammalia; Rodentia; Muridae. The record is from RNAcentral.